This 401-nucleotide ribosomal RNA is filed under the name uncultured bacterium. RNAcentral describes it as "bacterial SSU rRNA". It matches the Rfam family "Bacterial small subunit ribosomal RNA", at positions 356 to 773 of the family's 1533-position model. The record is from RNAcentral.
GGGGAAUAUUGGGCAAUGGAGGAAACUCUUACCCAGCAAUGCCGCGUGAAGGAAGAAGGUCUUCGGAUUGUAAACUUCUGUUAUAGGUGACGAAGAAUGACGGUAGCCUAUGAGGAAGCCCCGGCAAACUAUGUGCCAGCAGCCGCGGUAAUACAUAGGGGGCGAGCGUUGUCCGGAAUGACUGGGCGUAAAGGGAGUGUAGGCGGUCAUGCAAGUUAUAUGUGAAAGCCCGGGGCUUAACCUCGGAAUUGCAUGUAAAACUGCAUGACUUGAGUGUGGGAGAGGAAAGUGGAAUUCCUAGUGUAGCGGUGGAAUGCGUAGAUAUUAGGAGGAACACCAGUGGCGAAGGCGGCUUUCUGGACCAUAACUGACGCUGAGGCUCGAAAGCGUGGGGAGCAAAC